RNAcentral lists this ribosomal RNA (1226 nucleotides) under Corallianassa martensi. RNAcentral describes it as "SSU rRNA". It matches the Rfam family "Eukaryotic small subunit ribosomal RNA", at positions 611 to 1806 of the family's 1831-position model. Lineage: Eukaryota; Metazoa; Arthropoda; Malacostraca; Decapoda; Callianassidae. The record is from RNAcentral.
UGUUGCGGUUAAAAAGCUCGUAGUUGACCCUCAGUUCCGGACUGACGGUGCACCGCCCGGUGUCUCUCCGUCAUGCUCCGAACAGCAGGGAUGACCCUGCCCGGCCGGCUCGCACGGGGUGCUCUUCAUCGAGUGUCCCGCGUGGCCGGCGAGUUUACUUUGAAAAAAUUAGAGUGCUCAAAGCAGGCUACUUGAAUGGCCUGAAUGGUGAUGCAUGGAAUAAUGGAAUAGGACCUCGGUUCUAUUUUAUUGGUUUUCGGAACCGGAGGUAAUGACUAAUAGAAACAGGCGGGGGCAUUCGUACUGCGACGCUAGAGGUGAAAUUCUUGGACCGUCGCAAGACGAACUACUGCGAAAGCAUUUGCCAAGGAUGUUUUCAUUAAUCAAGAACGAAAGUUAGAGGUUCGAAGGCGAUCAGAUACCGCCCUAGUUCUAACCAUAAACGAUGCUGACUAGCGAUCCGCCGGCGUUAUUCCCAUGACCCGGCGGGCAGCUUCCGGGAAACCAAAGUCUUUGAGUUCCGGGGGAAGUAUGGUUGCAAAGCUGAAACUUAAAGGAAUUGACGGAAGGGCACCACCAGGAGUGGAGCCUGCGGCUUAAUUUGACUCAACACGGGGAACCUCACCAGGCCCGGACACCGGAAGGAUUGACAGAUUGAGAGCUCUUUCUCGAUUCGGUGGGUGGUGGUGCAUGGCCGUUCUUAGUUGGUGGAGCGAUUUGUCUGGUUAAUUCCGAUAACGAACGAGACUCUGGCCUAUUAACUAGUCGACGGAUCUCCAGCCAUUGGUGUCCAGUUCGCAACUUCUUCUUAGAGGGACUAGCGGCAUUCUAGCCGCACGAGAUUGAGCAAUAACAGGUCUGUGAUGCCCUUAGAUGUUCUGGGCCGCACGCGCGCUACACUGAAGGGAUCAACGUGUUCUCCCCCUCCGAGAGGAGCGGGUAACCCGUUCAAACCCCUUCAUGAUAGGGAUUGGGGCUUGCAAUUGUUUCCCAUGAACGAGGAAUUCCCAGUAAGCGCAAGUCAUCAGCUUGCGUUGAUUACGUCCCUGCCCUUUGUACACACCGCCCGUCGCUACUACCGAUUGAAUGAUUUAGUGAGGCCUUCGGACUGGCGCUCCUGGAUGCUGGGCCUUGCCUCUCCUGAGGGGGGUCCUCGCCUCGAGCUGACGGAAAGAUGUCCAAACUUGAUCAUUUAGAGGAAGUAAAAGUCGUAACAAGGUUUCCGU